UGAGGGAUAUUGGGCAAUGGGGGCAACCCUGACCCAGCGACGCCGCGUGAGGGAAGACGGUCUUCGGAUUGUAAAGCUCUAUCAGCAGGAAAGAUAAUGACGGUACCUGACUAAGAAGCACCGGCUAAAUACGUGCCAGCAGCCGCGGUAAUACGUAUGGUGCAAGCGUUAUCCGGAUUUACUGGGUGUAAAGGGAGCGCAGACGGCAUGGCAAGCCAGAUGUGAAAGGUGGGGGCUCAACCCCCAAGCUGCAUUUGGAACUGUCAAGCUAGAGUAUCGGAGAGGUAAGUGGAAUUCCUAGUGUAGCGGUGAAAUGCGUAGAUAUUAGGAGGAACACCAGUGGCGAAGGCGGCUUACUGGACGAUAACUGACGUUGAGGCUCGAAAGCGUGGGGAGCAAACAGGAUUAGAUACCCUGGUAGU
RNAcentral lists this ribosomal RNA (422 nucleotides) under uncultured Lachnospiraceae bacterium. Its description in RNAcentral is "bacterial SSU rRNA". It matches the Rfam family "Bacterial small subunit ribosomal RNA", at positions 355 to 794 of the family's 1533-position model. The record is from RNAcentral. Lineage: Bacteria; Bacillati; Bacillota; Clostridia; Lachnospirales; Lachnospiraceae.